CUACGGGGGGCUGCAGUGGGGAAUAUUGCACAAUGGGCGCAAGCCUGAUGCAGCCAUGCCGCGUGUAUGAAGAAGGCCUUCGGGUUGUAAAGUACUUUCAGCGGGGAGGAAGGGAGUAAAGUUAAUACCUUUGUUCAUUGACGUUACCCGCAGAAGAAGCACCGGCUAACUCCGUGCCAGCAGCCGCGGUAAUACGGAGGGUGCAAGCGUUAAUCGGAAUUACUGGGCGUAAAGCGCACGCAGGCGGUUUGUUAAGUCAGAUGUGAAAGCCCCGGGCUCAACCUGGGAACUGCAUCUGAUACUGGCAAGCUUGAGUCUCGUAGAGGGGGGUAGAAUUCCAGGUGUAGCGGUGAAAUGCGUAGAGAUCUGGAGGAAUACCGGUGGCGAAGGCGGCCCCCUGGACGAAGACUGACGCUCAGGUGCGAAAGCGUGGGGAGCAAACAGGAUUAGAUACCCCUGUAGUC
RNAcentral lists this ribosomal RNA (464 nucleotides) under uncultured bacterium. RNAcentral describes it as "partial 16S ribosomal RNA". It matches the Rfam family "Bacterial small subunit ribosomal RNA", at positions 339 to 795 of the family's 1533-position model. The record is from RNAcentral.